Long non-coding RNA from Podarcis muralis (Common wall lizard), 1132 nucleotides. RefSeq lists it as uncharacterized. The record is from RefSeq and is a predicted model, not a curated record. Lineage: Eukaryota; Metazoa; Chordata; Lepidosauria; Squamata; Lacertidae.
CUUGAGUCAUAGCAAUAAAGGAAGCUGCCUUAUAUUAAGCCAGACCAUGGGUCAAUUUAGUUGAGUAAUUGUGUAUCUGCACUGACUGGCUACAACUCUCCAGGGUUUAAGACACAAAAGAGUUUCCUAGCCCUUCCUAAAGUUGCCAGGAAUCGAAGCUCAGACCUUCUACAAGCAUAGCAGCUGCUCUGAGCCACCGAACUAAAGGCCCUUCCUCAGGGAACUUCUCUCAAAUCCCUUUGAGUUCAGUGGGACUUACUCCCAGGUAUGCGGUGUCAAGAUAUUCCUGGCUUGGGCCUAAAUUUUGGUCCCGGCCAAAGUGUCAAAACUUUGGUUCAGCAAUUAUACCUAGACUUCCGGCUGAGGUACGGGAUCGUGAGCUAGCUGUCUCUGGCCCUCAAUUGCCAGCAGGCCCAAGAUUUACGGCACCUGUGUUAUCUACAGAAACACAGUAUCUCAAGGAAGUACUGUACACGGUCGCUACUUGGAAUAACAUUUUUCAGUUGUCCUGUCAUGGAGGCCAUUACCAGACAGAGCGCCUGGAAAGUUACAAUUAAGGAGCCCUUUUCCUGGCUGAGGUGAGAGCAGAUGAUUGACGGAACGUGGAUUAUGUACCCCAGUGAGUUCACAAAUCAUAUAUAUGCAGCUUUCUUGAUGCACAUCAUUAAUGCAAACCCACAAGAAGUGUUGGAGUAGGAUUAUUCCCCAGGCUAAUCCAAAUUCUGUGCCAAGAACAAAUGAAUCCUGCAACCCAUAUGAGACAUCGAGAAAUCCUGCUGCAGACUUGUGUUUGAAGCCUCUUCAGAGAGUUGUAUAAACUCACUGUAUCCCCAUUCCCUGUGUGGAGCCUGAUUUAAUACCCGAAGUUCAACGGACAUUAUGGCCCUCUUGCUCCUGUCCAUGAAUGCCAUAAACCAUGAGGCCCGGUGCAUUUGUACCCUUGUAUAUCCCACCAUUAGUGGCCCUGGACAUGGUUGUUGUAAGGAUUACUUUGAUAAUUAAUGGAAAGCACUUUGUGCACUCUAAACAAGUGCUAUAUAAAUGAAAUCAAUGUCUAUUGGUUCAUUAUAUGUGACAACGUACACAUUCAAAAUAAAAAUUGCAAUUUGGUUGUGACUUACCUGUCAUUUGA